UACGGAGGAUGCGAGCGUUAUCCGGAUUUAUUGGGUUUAAAGGGUGCGUAGGCGGUUUGUCAAGUCAGCGGUGAAACGCACGGGCUCAACCUGUGACCUGCCGUUGAAACUGUCGGACUGGAAUGCGGAUGCUGUGGGAGGAAUGUGUGGUGUAGCGGUGAAAUGCAUAGAUACCACACAGAACACCGAUUGCGAAGGCAUCUCACAAAUCCGUGAUUGACGCUGAGGCACGAAAGUGUGGGGAUCAAAC
Molecule: ribosomal RNA, 250 nt
Filed under: uncultured prokaryote
Description: partial 16S ribosomal RNA
Rfam family: Bacterial small subunit ribosomal RNA
Source: RNAcentral